This 2470-nucleotide long non-coding RNA is filed under the name Mus musculus (house mouse). Its description in RNAcentral is "long non-coding RNA chr1:32710178-32712648". The record is from RNAcentral. Lineage: Eukaryota; Metazoa; Chordata; Mammalia; Rodentia; Muridae.
GCAUAGAUCCUUUAGAGGACCAAGGGUCUCUCCUCCUAUUCAUGACCAACUAGGCCAUCCUCUGCUACAUAUGCAGCUGGCGCCAUAAGUCCCACCAUGUGUACUCUUUGGUGAUUUAGUCCCAGGGAGCUCUGGGAGUACUGGUUAGUUCAUAGUGUUGUUCCUCCUAUGGAGCUGCAAACCCCUUCAGCUCCUUAGGUCCUUUCUCUAGCUUCUCCAUUUGGGGACCCUGUGCUCAGUCCAAUGAUAGGCUGUGAGGAUCCACCUCUGUAUUUGUCAGGCACUGGUGGAGCCUCUCCAGUGACAGCUAUAUCACGCUUCUGUCAGCAAGCACUUGUUGACAUCCACAAAAGUGUCUGGAUUCGGUGAUUGUAUAUGGGAUAGAUCCCCAGGUGGGACAGUCUCUUGAUGGCCAUUCCUUCAGUCUCUGCUCCACACUUUGUCUCUGUAGCUCCUUCCAUGGGUGUUUUGCUUUCCCUUCUAAGAGGGAAAAAGUAUGCACACUUUGGUCUUCCUUCUUGAGUUUCAUGUGGUUUGUGAAAUUGGGUAUUCAAAGCUUUUGGGCUAAUAUCCACUUAUCAGUGAGUGCAUAUCAUGUGUGUUCUUUUGGGGAUGGGUUACCUCAUCAGGAUGAUAUUUUCUAGUUCCAUCCAUUUGCCUAAGAAUUUCAUAAAUUCAUUGUUUUUAAUACCUGAGAAGUACUCCAUUGUGUAAAUGUACCACAUUUUCUGUAUCCAUUCCUCUGUUGAGGGACAUCUGGGUUCUUUCAAGCUCCUGGCUAUUAUAUAUAAGGCUGCGAUGAACAUAGUGGAGCAUUUGUCCUUAUUACAUGUUGGAGAAUCUUCUGGGUACGGUAUUAGUGGGUCCUCAGUUAGUACUAUGUCCAAUUUCCUGAGGAACCACCAAACUGAUUUCCAGAGUAGUUGCACAAGCUUGCAAUCCUGCAGGGUCUGCAACAUAAACAGUUGGUAUGACUGUUUCCAUUCUGUGACCCUAUGACCUAGAUCAUAAUUCAUUCUGAAUUGGUGAAAUUUUCAUUCCAAGACGAUUUAACAUGACAUGGGAUUUAUUAUUUCCCCCUAAAGAUUUUUUUGGCAUGAAAAUAACUUUUGAGUAUGCUAAGAGCUGGUUUUAAUUGACACACUUCUAGUGGCCAUAUUCAAAUUUGGUACAAUCCUCUCAUGUAGUCAUCCCAAUCUUCUAUUUAAAUUUUGGUGGCAAUAUAUUCAUUAUGCAAAAACAGUUAUGAAUAACCCAUUCAUCUUUACCCGCUCUCAUCCUUCCCUGUGCCCAUCACUGGUUCCUGAUCUUUCCCAAAUCAAUCCCUCGUCUACUUUCAGGUCUAAAAAAUAAACCCGAAUUCUGUAUAUGAGGGGGAAAGAUAACAUUCUGCAUCUGUCCUUUUGCAUUUAUUAUAUUGACAUGAUGAUCUCUGGCUUCAUUUAUUAUGAAACCAUAUGAUGUCAUUCUCCUAUUAUGGCUAAACUGUUGGAUGUGUGUGCACUUGUGUCUGCCUGUCUAUGUCUGUCUGUGUAUCUGUCUGUCUGGUUAGAGGCAUGGAACACUGGGACAGUGGGCACUGGAAAAAGUGAGCUCUAUGGAAAGUGGAUGCUAAGGAAAGACAUCCUGAUGGAGGGUUGGUUCUGGGGAGAGUGGACACGGGGAAGAAUGAGCAUGGGGGAAAGUGUGCUUUGAUGAGACUGGAGUCUGGCAAAAUUGAACGCUGGGGAGAGUGGUGGUUUGAACACUCAGAAAAAUGGGCACGAAGGAGAUUGAACACAGUAGAACAGGCACUGGGGUAAUGGGCCCAGGUCAUGCAUACAAGCACAAUGAAGAUUGAACUAUGAGGCAAAUGGGGCACUAUUGUCUGUCUGACCAGGUAUGCUUUCUGCAAACUUAGUCCUAUUAUUUACUCUGAACUCUAAAAUAGUAUCUAUGCGGCUAUGAUCUCCCCUAUAAUUACAGCCCAAGUUUCACACCCCGUGUUGACAGAAUGAAAUCUAUCUUCUAUUCUCCACUUAGGCUUCUGUGUCCUGGUAACUUCUUUUUCUGUCCCACCUACUGGGAUUGGGAGUCUUGAGAGAUAGGAUUGUCCUAUUAGGAGCCUUUCCAUGCUUUCUCAUUUCAAGAUUGGUGCUGGAGUUCUCUCCUAUCUUACAACACACACUAUGUUGUUAAUGCUCCAUGAACCUUUCAUUUUCUGUGAAAGAAAUAUCCCAAACAGCAUUUCUCAAUUCACGUACAUCUGGUUUGCUGUAUUUUCAGCUAAGAUCUCCCUGCUCAUUACAGGAGACUCUGGCACAUCCAGUGUUUAGAACUGAGUCUUCACCAACAAAGAAAAUUAUUCACCUGUCAUUGUUCUGAGUAAAGUGUGUGCUGACUCAAACAAAGACAACUUUGACUGAACCAUGGGCUUCUAAUAAUGGAUAUUACUUAUCAUAUACCUGAAUUUUUAUAAUAAACAGUUACC